UGGUGUAGCUCAAUUGGUAGAGCAACUGAUUUGUAAUCAGUCGGUUAUGAGUUCAAGUCUCUUCACU
RNAcentral lists this transfer RNA (67 nucleotides) under Prymnesium parvum. It matches the Rfam family "tRNA", at positions 5 to 66 of the family's 71-position model. Rfam says of the family: Transfer RNA (tRNA) molecules are approximately 80 nucleotides in length. Their secondary structure includes four short double-helical elements and three loops (D, anti-codon, and T loops). The record is from RNAcentral. Lineage: Eukaryota; Haptophyta; Prymnesiales; Prymnesiaceae.